Molecule: transfer RNA, 70 nt
Filed under: Cicadellidae gen. sp. 1 JCX-2018
Lineage: Eukaryota; Metazoa; Arthropoda; Insecta; Hemiptera; Cicadellidae
Description: tRNA-Lys
Rfam family: tRNA
About the family: Transfer RNA (tRNA) molecules are approximately 80 nucleotides in length.
Source: RNAcentral
CAUUAAGUUACUUAAAUUUAAAGUAUUGGUCUCUUAAACCAAAAAUAGUAAUUAUAAAUACUCUUAACGA